This 424-nucleotide ribosomal RNA is filed under the name uncultured bacterium. Its description in RNAcentral is "bacterial SSU rRNA". It matches the Rfam family "Bacterial small subunit ribosomal RNA", at positions 355 to 776 of the family's 1533-position model. The record is from RNAcentral.
UGAGGAAUAUUGGGCAAUGGGCGCAAGCCUGACCCAGCCAUGCCGCGUGCAGGAUGACGGCGCUAUGCGUUGUAAACUGCUUUUGUACAGGAAGAAACCCAUCUACGUGUAGGUGGUUGACGGUACUGUCAGAAUAAGCAUCGGCUAACUCCGUGCCAGCAGCCGCGGUAAUACGGAGGAUGCAAGCGUUAUCCGGAUUCAUUGGGUUUAAAGGGUGCGUAGGCGGAGUAUUAAGUCAGUGAUGAAAUCCUGCAGCUUAACUGUAGAACUGUCAUUGAUACUGGUAUUCUUGAAUAUAGUUGAGGUAGGCGGAAUGUGUAAUGUAGCGGUGAAAUGCUUAGAUAUUACACAGAACACCGAUUGCGAAGGCAGCUUACUAAACUGUGAUUGACGCUGAGGCACGAAAGCGUGGGGAGCAAACAGG